ACGGGAGGCAGCAGUGGGGGAUAUUGCACAAUGGGGGAAACCCUGAUGCAGCGACGCCGCGUGAGUGAAGAAGUAUUUCGGUAUGUAAAGCUCUUUAAGCAGGGAAGAUAAUGACGGUACCUGCAGAAUAAGCCCCGGCUAACUACGUGCCAGCAGCCGCGGUAAUACGUAGGGGGCAAGCGUUAUCCGGAUUUACUGGGUGUAAAGGGAGCGUAGACGGAACAGCAAGUCUGAGGUGAAAUCAUGGGGCCCAACCCCGUAACUGCCUUGGAAACUGUUGAUCUCGAGUACCGGAGGGGCAGGCGGAAUUCCUGGUGUAGCGGUGAAAUGCGUAGAUAUCAGGAAGAACACCGGUGGCGAAGGCGGCCUGCUGGACGGUAACUGACGUUGAGGCUCGAAAGCGUGGGGAGCAAACAGGAUUAGAUACCCUGGUA
RNAcentral lists this ribosomal RNA (434 nucleotides) under uncultured Lachnospiraceae bacterium. RNAcentral's name for it is "bacterial SSU rRNA". It matches the Rfam family "Bacterial small subunit ribosomal RNA", at positions 341 to 792 of the family's 1533-position model. Lineage: Bacteria; Bacillati; Bacillota; Clostridia; Lachnospirales; Lachnospiraceae. The record is from RNAcentral.